RNAcentral lists this long non-coding RNA (390 nucleotides) under Zostera marina. RNAcentral describes it as "long non-coding RNA (ZMAR_LNC000199)". Lineage: Eukaryota; Viridiplantae; Streptophyta; Magnoliopsida; Alismatales; Zosteraceae. The record is from RNAcentral.
GGGGACGAUUUUUGGGACUGGGGAUUUCCCCGCCCCGCUCACCCCUAAUAUCCGGAGUAUAUUACGCCAUACGUACGAACGACGUACAUUAAAACGGCACAACAGAUGGUCGGAUCUCGUCGGCGCACCCAACCGCACCAUAAGCACGAUGUGUGUGUGUAUAAAUGUGAGAACGAAAAGUAAAGAAUGAAUAUGCGUUAUUGGUAUCCAGAAACGUUGAUCUCGUGGAAUGAUGUUGAAGCCUGAUUGUCAGAGAUGCAACAAAGGAUGUGUUGGGAAGUUAGGACGGUUAGCCGUUAAUACAGGGAGUUAGUUAAUUGAAAUAGAUUGUAAUUAUAAAUAAUCGAUUCUGUAAAAACAAUAUUUCUCAAGUCAAAAUAAGAAUUGAAC